Molecule: ribosomal RNA, 247 nt
Filed under: uncultured bacterium
Lineage: Bacteria
Description: partial 16S ribosomal RNA
Rfam family: Bacterial small subunit ribosomal RNA
Source: RNAcentral
UACAGAGGGUGCAAGCGUUAAUCGGAAUUACUGGGCGUAAAGCGUGCGUAGACGGUUACAUAAGUCGGGUGUGAAAGCCCCGGGCUCAACCUGGGAAUUGCAUUCGAGACUGCGUAGCUAGGGUGCGGAAGAGGGAAGCGGAAUUUCCGGUGUAGCGGUGAAAUGCGUAGAUAUCGGAAGGAACACCAGUGGCGAAAGCGGCUUCCUGGUCCAGCACCGACGUUCAGGCACGAAGCGUGGGGAGCAA